GAGUUUGAUCCUGGCUCAGGAUAAACGCUGGCGGCGUGCCUAACACAUGCAAGUCGCACGUCCUGGGGUCUUUCGGGACCGCAGGGAGUGGCGGACGGGUGAGGAACACGUGGGUGACCUACCUUUCAGUGAGGAAUACCGGCGAGAAAUCGCCGACAAGACCGCAUACGGUUGCUGCUUCAGCGCAGCAACGAAAGCUUCACGUGAGUGAGGCGCUGGAAGAUGGGCCCGCGGCCGAUUAGCUAGCUGGUGGGGUAAUGGCCUACCAGGGCGACGAUCGGUAGCUGGUCUGAGAGGACGAUCAGCCACACUGGGAUUGAGAACGGCCCAGACUCCUACGGGGGGCAGCAGUGAGGAAUUUUCGGCAAUGGGGGCAACCCUGACCGAGCAACGCCGCGUGCAGGACGACGGCCUUCGGGUUGUAAACUGCUUUUCUCUGGGACGAGCAAGGACGGUACCAGAGGAAGAAGCCCCGGCUAACUACGUGCCAGCAGCCGCGGUAAUACGUAGGGGGCGAGCGUUGUCCGGAGUUAUUGGGCGUAAAGCGCACGCAGGCGGUCAGGCAGGUGUGGGGUGACAGUGGUCGGCUUAACCGACCGAGUGCCUCGCAAACGGCGUGACUUGAGGGCCACAGAGGGACAUGGAACUCCAGGUGUAGUGGUGAAAUGCGUAGAUAUCUGGAAGAACACCAAAGGCGAAGGCAGUGUCCUGGGUGGUACCUGACGCUGAUGUGCGAAAGCCAGGGGAGCGAACGGGAUUAGAUACCCCGGUAGUCCUGGCCGUAAACGAUGACCACUAGAUGUGCGGGGUAUCGACCCCCUGCGUGUCGGAGUUAACGCAAUAAGUGGUCCGCCUGGGGAGUACGGUCGCAAGAUUAAAACUCAAAGGAAUUGACGG
Molecule: ribosomal RNA, 897 nt
Filed under: uncultured bacterium
Lineage: Bacteria
Description: bacterial SSU rRNA
Rfam family: Bacterial small subunit ribosomal RNA
Source: RNAcentral